GUUCGAGACCAGCCUGAGCAACACAGCAAGACCUCCAUCUGUACCACACACACACACACACAAAAUAAAAUUGUUAAUGCAAAUUAAUAAUCUGAUGAAAAUCUUCGCACUUCUUUUUGGAAUGACAGAGCAGUGAGUCACUGGAAAGUCUCCCAGGGAGGGGAAGUGGCUGCAUCCUUGAGCUCGUCACUCAUUGGCACACCAGUUAUCUCUGCCCUGCAGAGAGCCAAGGCGUCCUUCAGACAGGAAAUAGGAUCUUAGUGGGUGGCCGCCAAGAGUGCACAGACUUUGAAGCAGGAAAAGACAGUCUCUAGAGCAACAUGGAAAGGAUCCAGACUGCCAGCAAGCAAGCGGGGAAGUGGAGAACAGCUGGGAUUCUCCAGUGAAAAGGUGGCUCAGUGCGAGAGAUGUCAAGAGGCUGGGAUUGGCGCCCAUCGGGAGGCGCAGAGCUCUCUCCCUCACGCUUCCUGGGAAAUGAAGGAGAAAUAACAGGCAGCCCGCAUUUGCAGCCAGCCAGCCUGGGUGGUAUUCCGUGAAGUGAAGCACUCAUAAAUCCCUUCUGGGGCCAGAGCCGGUUUGACAAGCUGCGGGAUUUGGGUGGUCUGCCUGCUCUUCGGGAGUGGCCUUGGGAAGCUGAAGAAAUUGAAUCAGGACCCCAGGCCCUUUACAGACUCCCUUCUACACUUGGUUGCUGAUUAAGAACAUUAUGUGGCAUUUAAAAUGGCACAAUUAUCUUCCUUUGGUGGUUCCUAGCUAAAAGUAGACUCCUAUCAGCCUGUGACUGACGACAAGAAGGCUCUUCGUCCCUGUUUUUGAAAUAAACAUGAGUAUAAU
This is a non-coding RNA of Chlorocebus sabaeus (green monkey), 834 nucleotides long. The record is from RefSeq and is a predicted model, not a curated record. Lineage: Eukaryota; Metazoa; Chordata; Mammalia; Primates; Cercopithecidae.